UCAAGUGAAGAAGCGCAUACGGUGGAUGCCUUGGCAGUCAGAGGCGAUGAAAGACGUGGUAGCCUGCGAAAAGCUUCGGGGAGUCGGCAAACAGACUUUGAUCCGGAGAUCUCUGAAUGGGGGAACCCACCUAGGAUAACCUAGGUAUCUUGUACUGAAUCCAUAGGUGCAAGAGGCGAACCAGGGGAACUGAAACAUCUAAGUACCCUGAGGAAAAGAAAUCAACCGAGAUUCCCUUAGUAGUGGCGAGCGAACGGGGAUUAGCCCUUAAGCUUCAUUGAUUUUAGCGGAACGCUCUGGAAAGUGCGGCCAUAGUGGGUGAUAGCCCCGUACGCGAAAGGAUCUUUGAAGUGAAAUCGAGUAGGACGGAGCACGAGAAACUUUGUCUGAACAUGGGGGGACCAUCCUCCAAGGCUAAAUACUACUGACUGACCGAUAGUGAACCAGUACCGUGAGGGAAAGGCGAAAAGAACCCCGGAGAGGGGAGUGAAAUAGAACCUGAAACCGUAUGCGUACAAGCAGUGGGAGCCUACUUGUUAGGUGACUGCGUACCUUUUGUAUAAUGGGUCAGCGACUUAUAUUCAGUGGCAAGCUUAACCGUAUAGGGUAGGCGUAGCGAAAGCGAGUCUUAAUAGGGCGUUUAGUCGCUGGGUAUAGACCCGAAACCGGGCGAUCUAUCCAUGAGCAGGUUGAAGGUUAGGUAACACUGACUGGAGACCGAACCCACUCCCGUUGAAAAGGUAGGGGAUGACUUGUGGAUCGGAGUGAAAGGCUAAUCAAGCUCGGAGAUAGCUGGUUCUCCUCGAAAGCUAUUUAGGUAGCGCCUCAUGUAUCACUCUGGGGGGUAGAGCACUGUUUCGGCUAGGGGGUCAUCCCGACUUACCAAACCGAUGCAAACUCCGAAUACCCAGAAGUGCCGAGCAUGGGAGACACACGGCGGGUGCUAACGUCCGUCGUGAAAAGGGAAACAACCCAGACCGCCAGCUAAGGUCCCAAAGUUGUGGUUAAGUGGUAAACGAUGUGGGAAGGCUUAGACAGCUAGGAGGUUGGCUUAGAAGCAGCCAUCCUUUAAAGAAAGCGUAAUAGCUCACUAGUCGAGUCGGCCUGCGCGGAAGAUGUAACGGGGCUCAAACCACACACCGAAGCUGCGGGUGUCACGUAAGUGACGCGGUAGAGGAGCGUUCUGUAAGCCUGUGAAGGUGAGUUGAGAAGCUUGCUGGAGGUAUCAGAAGUGCGAAUGCUGACAUGAGUAACGACAAUGGGUGUGAAAAACACCCACGCCGAAAGACCAAGGGUUCCUGCGCAACGUUAAUCGACGCAGGGUUAGUCGGUUCCUAAGGCGAGGCUGAAAAGCGUAGUCGAUGGGAAACAGGUUAAUAUUCCUGUACUUCUGGUUACUGCGAUGGAGGGACGGAGAAGGCUAGGCCAGCUUGGCGUUGGUUGUCCAAGUUUAAGGUGGUAGGCUGAAAUCUUAGGUAAAUCCGGGGUUUCAAGGCCGAGAGCUGAUGACGAGUCGUCUUUUAGAUGACGAAGUGGUUGAUGCCAUGCUUCCAAGAAAAGCUUCUAAGCUUCAGGUAACCAGGAACCGUACCCCAAAACCGACACAGGUGGUCGGGUAGAGAAUACCAAGGCGCUUGAGAGAACUCGGGUGAAGGAACUAGGCAAAAUGGCACCGUAACUUCGGGAGAAGGUGCGCCGGCUAGGGUGAAGGAUUUACUCCGUAAGCUCUGGCUGGUCGAAGAUACCAGGCCGCUGCGACUGUUUAUUAAAAACACAGCACUCUGCAAACACGAAAGUGGACGUAUAGGGUGUGACGCCUGCCCGGUGCCGGAAGGUUAAUUGAUGGGGUUAGCGCAAGCGAAGCUCUUGAUCGAAGCCCCGGUAAACGGCGGCCGUAACUAUAACGGUCCUAAGGUAGCGAAAUUCCUUGUCGGGUAAGUUCCGACCUGCACGAAUGGCGUAACGAUGGCGGCGCUGUCUCCACCCGAGACUCAGUGAAAUUGAAAUCGCUGUGAAGAUGCAGUGUAUCCGCGGCUAGACGGAAAGACCCCGUGAACCUUUACUGUAGCUUUGCACUGGACUUUGAGCCUGCUUGUGUAGGAUAGGUGGGAGGCUUUGAAGCGUGGACGCCAGUUCGCGUGGAGCCAUCCUUGAAAUACCACCCUGGCAUGCUUGAGGUUCUAACUCUGGUCCGUAAUCCGGAUCGAGGACAGUGUAUGGUGGGCAGUUUGACUGGGGCGGUCUCCUCCUAAAGAGUAACGGAGGAGUACGAAGGUGCGCUCAGACCGGUCGGAAAUCGGUCGCAGAGUAUAAAGGCAAAAGCGCGCUUGACUGCGAGACAGACACGUCGAGCAGGUACGAAAGUAGGUCUUAGUGAUCCGGUGGUUCUGUAUGGAAGGGCCAUCGCUCAACGGAUAAAAGGUACUCCGGGGAUAACAGGCUGAUACCGCCCAAGAGUUCAUAUCGACGGCGGUGUUUGGCACCUCGAUGUCGGCUCAUCACAUCCUGGGGCUGAAGCCGGUCCCAAGGGUAUGGCUGUUCGCCAUUUAAAGUGGUACGCGAGCUGGGUUUAGAACGUCGUGAGACAGUUCGGUCCCUAUCUGCCGUGGACGUUUGAGAUUUGAGAGGGGCUGCUCCUAGUACGAGAGGACCGGAGUGGACGAACCUCUGGUGUUCCGGUUGUCACGCCAGUGGCAUUGCCGGGUAGCUAUGUUCGGAAAAGAUAACCGCUGAAAGCAUCUAAGCGGGAAACUUGCCUCAAGAUGAGAUCUCACUGGGAACUUGAUUCCCCUGAAGGGCCGUCGAAGACUACGACGUUGAUAGGCUGGGUGUGUAAGCGUUGUGAGGCGUUGAGCUAACCAGUACUAAUUGCCCGUGAGGCUUGACCAU
Molecule: ribosomal RNA, 2889 nt
Filed under: Pseudomonas aeruginosa
Lineage: Bacteria; Pseudomonadati; Pseudomonadota; Gammaproteobacteria; Pseudomonadales; Pseudomonadaceae
Description: 23S ribosomal RNA
Rfam family: Bacterial large subunit ribosomal RNA
Source: RNAcentral